UACGAAGGGGGCUAGCGUUGUUCGGAAUUACUGGGCGUAAAGCGCACGUAGGCGGAUAUUUAAGUCAGGGGUGAAAUCCCGGGGCUCAACCCCGGAACUGCCUUUGAUACUGGGUAUCUCGAGUCCGAGAGAGGUGAGUGGAAUUCCGAGUGUAGAGGUGAAAUUCCUAGAUAUUCGGAGGAACACCAUUGGCGAAGGCGGCUCACUGGCUCGGUACUGACGCUGAGGUGCGAAAGCGUGGGGAGCAAACAGG
This 253-nucleotide ribosomal RNA is filed under the name uncultured bacterium. RNAcentral's name for it is "partial 16S ribosomal RNA". It matches the Rfam family "Bacterial small subunit ribosomal RNA", at positions 524 to 776 of the family's 1533-position model. The record is from RNAcentral.